AUGUAUCAUGUGGCAUGGGUUGUAGUGGAAAAAGAAACAACUGGGAGUUGGAAGUGGUUCAUUGGGCUUCUGAUAAAAGACUUGGAUAUUAAUGAUCAAGGAGCUGGAUGGGUUUUCAUUUCUGACCAGCAAAAGGUAUAUUUUAUUACAUGA
RNAcentral lists this ribosomal RNA (153 nucleotides) under Triticum aestivum (bread wheat). RNAcentral's name for it is "partial small subunit ribosomal RNA". The record is from RNAcentral. Lineage: Eukaryota; Viridiplantae; Streptophyta; Magnoliopsida; Poales; Poaceae.